Long non-coding RNA from Dreissena polymorpha, 1021 nucleotides. RefSeq lists it as uncharacterized. The transcript has 4 exons. The record is from RefSeq and is a predicted model, not a curated record. Lineage: Eukaryota; Metazoa; Mollusca; Bivalvia; Myida; Dreissenidae.
AAUUAGUCUUUGUACUUCACUGCCCUUUAAAGUAUUACAAACAAGCAGUCUGCCAGGCCGGAUACCAUGUGCAUUUGGGUCAUGAUUUAAUAGAUAAAACAAGUUUCAUUGAAUAAAUGUAAUCACUUUUGUGCAGUCUGUUAAACGGAUGUUUCGUAGGGCAGCAUAGUCAGUAUCAUAGCGACAUGGUUUUCUGGGCGUAUUCAUGACCUACAGCUUCGCAGAAGACAGGGCAGGAUAGACAGUAUCAUAGCACACAUACCACAGACUCGCAGAAGACAGGCUUUAGACAACAUGCUCUGGAAUAUCAUCUUUGUAAGCUAUAAUGACCACCAGGAUGGAAGGAGAUAUUAUCGAGGUACGCCGCGUUUGGCUAGGCUAAUAGAUGACGUUGGAAGAGAUGAACCUAUUACAAGCGUACGGUUAUUUAGAGAAAUAGAAGAUCCUGCUGUUAGAGAAAUAUUUGAUGAUGAUCAUUGUUUUAUCGUAUUUGAAACAAUUACAUUAUUCUAUUCUAUCGAAAAGAAAUUAAUGAGAAUUAAUAAUAUAGAACAACCACCAACGAUAAUAAUGCAACGGAGUGCCAACCAACGCGACGUUACACAUUAUUGUAACCAACAAAUGCGACCUAACGAACCAGUCGUACUGCGUAUGCAAAACACCGAUAAUCUAAGCGUUUAUGCUCUAAUCGAGUUGCUAUAUAUAACAGGUGCAUGGGGCACGAGGAACCAACGAUUUGCAGCUUAUCUAUUCGAACAUGUAAUCCUACUGCCACUUGUGCUAAUUGAUGAUCAUCCUGAUGAUUUUGAUGAUAAUGAUGAUGUCGGUUAAAAACAUAAUUUACAAUUCAAUUGUUAAGCUGUGGAAGUGGUGUUUAUGACAUUUCAAAAUGUACUUAGAUUUCGGAAUUUUCUUAUAACAUGUUUGCGUAUGUGCUAUGCUUAAUAGUGUUCGAUUAUACCAGUUGUAUAUAAUUGUUCUCUUUUCCGUUAAAGAGCAAUAAAUUGUAUGUACACGAGAA